AGAGUUUGAUCCUGGCUCAGAACGAACGCUGGCGGCGUGCUUAACACAUGCAAGUCGAACGCGAACGGUUUCUUCGGAAACUUAGUAGAGUGGCGCACGGGUGAGUAACGCGUAAGUAAUCUAUCCUGAUAUCUGGAAUAACACUCCGAAAGGUGUGCUAAUACCGGAUACGCUGACUUCGGUCAGGAAAGGUGGCCUCUUCAUGAAAGCUACCGUAUCAGGAGGAGCUUGCGUACCAUUAGCUAGUUGGUGGGGUAAUGGCCUACCAAGGCGACGAUGGUUAGCGGGUCUGAGAGGAUGAUCCGCCACACUGGAACUGAAACACGGACCAGACUCCUACGGGAGGCAGCAGUGAGGAAUCUUGCGCAAUGGGGGAAACCCUGACGCAGCCACGCCGCGUGGGUGAAGAAGGCCUUCGGGUUGUAAAGCCCUGUCAGGUGGGAAGAACCGCAAGGGGGCGAAUAGCCUCUUUGCUUGACGGUACCACCAAAGGAAGCACCGGCUAACUCCGUGCCAGCAGCCGCGGUAAUACGGAGGGUGCAAGCGUUGUUCGGAAUUACUGGGCGUAAAGAGCGUGUAGGCGGCUUGGUAAGUCAGAUGUGAAAGCCCUCGGCUUAACCGAGGAAGUGCAUCUGAUGCUGCCAGGCUUGAGUCCCGGAGAGGGUUGUGGAAUUCCCGGUGUAGAGGUGAAAUUCGUAGAUAUCGGGAGGAACACCUGUGGCGAAGGCGACAACCUGGACGGUGACUGACGCUGAGACGCGAAAGCGUGGGGAGCAAACAGGAUUAGAUACCCUGGUAGUCC
RNAcentral lists this ribosomal RNA (802 nucleotides) under uncultured bacterium. RNAcentral's name for it is "bacterial SSU rRNA". It matches the Rfam family "Bacterial small subunit ribosomal RNA", at positions 8 to 796 of the family's 1533-position model. The record is from RNAcentral.